AGAUUAAGUUAUUAAGGGCGCACGGUGGAUGCCUUGGCACUAGAAGCCGAUGAAGGACGUUACUAACGACGAUAUGCUUUGGGGAGCUGUAAGUAAGCUUUGAUCCAGAGAUUUCCGAAUGGGGAAACCCAGCAUGAGUUAUGUCAUGUUAUCGAUAUGUGAAUACAUAGCAUAUCAGAAGGCAUACCCGGAGAACUGAAACAUCUUAGUACCCGGAGGAAGAGAAAGAAAAUUCGAUUCCCUUAGUAGCGGCGAGCGAAACGGGAAGAGCCCAAACCAACAAGCUUGCUUGUUGGGGUUGUAGGACACUCUAUACGGAGUUACAAAGGACGACAUUAGACGAAUCAUCUGGAAAGAUGAAUCAAAGAAGGUAAUAAUCCUGUAGUCGAAAAUGUUGUCUCUCUUGAGUGGAUCCUGAGUACGACGGAGCACGUGAAAUUCCGUCGGAAUCUGGGAGGACCAUCUCCUAAGGCUAAAUACUCUCUAGUGACCGAUAGUGAACCAGUACCGUGAGGGAAAGGUGAAAAGCACCCCGGAAGGGGAGUGAAAUAGAACCUGAAACCGUGUGCUUACAAGUAGUCAGAGCCCGUUAAUGGGUGAUGGCGUGCCUUUUGUAGAAUGAACCGGCGAGUUACGAUUUGAUGCAAGGUUAAGCAGUAAAUGUGGAGCCGUAGCGAAAGCGAGUCUGAAUAGGGCGUUUAGUAUUUGGUCGUAGACCCGAAACCAGGUGAUCUACCCUUGGUCAGGUUGAAGUUCAGGUAACACUGAAUGGAGGACCGAACCGACUUACGUUGAAAAGUGAGCGGAUGAACUGAGGGUAGCGGAGAAAUUCCAAUCGAACCUGGAGAUAGCUGGUUCUCUCCGAAAUAGCUUUAGGGCUAGCCUCAAGUGAUGAUUAUUGGAGGUAGAGCACUGUUUGGACGAGGGGCCCCUCUCGGGUUACCGAAUUCAGACAAACUCCGAAUGCCAAUUAAUUUAACUUGGGAGUCAGAACAUGGGUGAUAAGGUCCGUGUUCGAAAGGGAAACAGCCCAGACCACCAGCUAAGGUCCCAAAAUAUAUGUUAAGUGGAAAAGGAUGUGGCGUUGCCCAGACAACUAGGAUGUUGGCUUAGAAGCAGCCAUCAUUUAAAGAGUGCGUAAUAGCUCACUAGUCGAGUGACACUGCGCCGAAAAUGUACCGGGGCUAAACAUAUUACCGAAGCUGUGGAUUGUCCUUUGGACAAUGGUAGGAGAGCGUUCUAAGGGCGUUGAAGCAUGAUCGUAAGGACAUGUGGAGCGCUUAGAAGUGAGAAUGCCGGUGUGAGUAGCGAAAGACGGGUGAGAAUCCCGUCCACCGAUUGACUAAGGUUUCCAGAGGAAGGCUCGUCCGCUCUGGGUUAGUCGGGUCCUAAGCUGAGGCCGACAGGCGUAGGCGAUGGAUAACAGGUUGAUAUUCCUGUACCACCUAUAAUCGUUUUAAUCGAUGGGGGGACGCAGUAGGAUAGGCGAAGCGUGCGAUUGGAUUGCACGUCUAAGCAGUAAGGCUGAGUAUUAGGCAAAUCCGGUACUCGUUAAGGCUGAGCUGUGAUGGGGAGAAGACAUUGUGUCUUCGAGUCGUUGAUUUCACACUGCCGAGAAAAGCCUCUAGAUAGAAAAUAGGUGCCCGUACCGCAAACCGACACAGGUAGUCAAGAUGAGAAUUCUAAGGUGAGCGAGCGAACUCUCGUUAAGGAACUCGGCAAAAUGACCCCGUAACUUCGGGAGAAGGGGUGCUCUUUAGGGUUAACGCCCAGAAGAGCCGCAGUGAAUAGGCCCAAGCGACUGUUUAUCAAAAACACAGGUCUCUGCUAAACCGUAAGGUGAUGUAUAGGGGCUGACGCCUGCCCGGUGCUGGAAGGUUAAGAGGAGUGGUUAGCUUCUGCGAAGCUACGAAUCGAAGCCCCAGUAAACGGCGGCCGUAACUAUAACGGUCCUAAGGUAGCGAAAUUCCUUGUCGGGUAAGUUCCGACCCGCACGAAAGGCGUAACGAUUUGGGCACUGUCUCAACGAGAGACUCGGUGAAAUCAUAGUACCUGUGAAGAUGCAGGUUACCCGCGACAGGACGGAAAGACCCCGUGGAGCUUUACUGUAGCCUGAUAUUGAAAUUCGGCACAGCUUGUACAGGAUAGGUAGGAGCCUUUGAAACGUGAGCGCUAGCUUACGUGGAGGCGCUGGUGGGAUACUACCCUAGCUGUGUUGGCUUUCUAACCCGCACCACUUAUCGUGGUGGGAGACAGUGUCAGGCGGGCAGUUUGACUGGGGCGGUCGCCUCCUAAAAGGUAACGGAGGCGCUCAAAGGUUCCCUCAGAAUGGUUGGAAAUCAUUCAUAGAGUGUAAAGGCAUAAGGGAGCUUGACUGCGAGACCUACAAGUCGAGCAGGGUCGAAAGACGGACUUAGUGAUCCGGUGGUUCCGCAUGGAAGGGCCAUCGCUCAACGGAUAAAAGCUACCCCGGGGAUAACAGGCUUAUCUCCCCCAAGAGUUCACAUCGACGGGGAGGUUUGGCACCUCGAUGUCGGCUCAUCGCAUCCUGGGGCUGUAGUCGGUCCCAAGGGUUGGGCUGUUCGCCCAUUAAAGCGGUACGCGAGCUGGGUUCAGAACGUCGUGAGACAGUUCGGUCCCUAUCCGUCGUGGGCGUAGGAAAUUUGAGAGGAGCUGUCCUUAGUACGAGAGGACCGGGAUGGACAUACCUCUGGUGUACCAGUUGUCGUGCCAACGGCAUAGCUGGGUAGCUAUGUGUGGACGGGAUAAGUGCUGAAAGCAUCUAAGCAUGAAGCCCCCCUCAAGAUGAGAUUUCCCAACUUCGGUUAUAAGAUCCCUCAAAGAUGAUGAGGUUAAUAGGUUCGAGGUGGAAGCAUGGUGACAUGUGGAGCUGACGAAUACUAAUCGAUCGAAGACUUAAUCAAAUU
Molecule: ribosomal RNA, 2927 nt
Filed under: Staphylococcus aureus
Lineage: Bacteria; Bacillati; Bacillota; Bacilli; Caryophanales; Staphylococcaceae
Description: bacterial LSU rRNA
Rfam family: Bacterial large subunit ribosomal RNA
Source: RNAcentral